AAGAUGGUGAAUUUCAUGUUCUGUGUAUUUCACCACAAGUUUUUGAAAAGAGAGACAGAAAAGUAUUCUCUCGCUUGAAGACCUCAGAAGCCCCUUGGGAACAAUCCAGGAAUGAUCCACUUACUGGCUUAAAAAGAUGAGGAGUGUCCUGAAAAGUGCAGCGUCCUUGAAGUUCUUGAUUCGAUGAGGCUGGUGGGAAGGUCUUGUUUUGAUGAUUCACUUUUCGUUUAAUUCUUCUCACCGGCCUCUGCCCUUAAGGAACGAAGAGAGAAUUCUAUCCACCUGCCAGGCUGCCGUCCCACAAGGCUCUGGGCGAGAGGUUUAAAUGAAGUCUUAGUGCAAUUCCCAAGGGAGGGGGGGGUUCUGUCUGGAUGGGGGCCGAAGUGGGGACAAAGCCUGGGUCUGCGGGUCCCGCGGCCGUUCAGUCUUUCCUGGUUUCCUCCCAGCUUGGGGUAUAUGAGCCGGGGAGGGAGGGAGUUUUCUCGAAGGCCAUAGAAAGGCUGAAACACAAGCCGAGUUUCCAACUGAAAAGCCAGAACCCUUGCUCACUCUCAGCGUUUUUCACCUUCUCUGGCAGCAUCGCUCUUACUUAGUUAACUCCUGCGGGACCACGUGGGGAUCAGGGUCCAGGAGCCGGGCUGCCACUCCGGGCUCUGGGGCUCACUCCCUGUGUGUAUCCGUCAACUUCUGCUGUGUGACAACCAUCCCAGCCCUCAGUGCUCCAACAGCAGCUGCUACGAGCUCAUGAUCCUGUGGUCAGCUAUGGAGGUGCUGCCUGGCCUGAGGGAACGCUCACCCACACGUCUAUCGCCCAGGGUGGCAGGGGAGGGAUGGGAGAUAACAUUCAGACACCCGGUUCCAUUUGAAAAUCAGGCCAAUGAUGAAUGACUUUUCCAGUAUAAGCAUAUCCCGUGCAAUAUUUGGGACAUCUUUACGCUAAAUAAAAAUCACUCAUUGUCUCUUUGAAGGUCAAAUGUAAGUGGACGUCCUGGGUUUGUAUUGGCUGAAUCUGGCCACCCUGGACAGGGCGCCACGGCCGGAUCUCGGUCAGACUGGCGGGCUCAUCCCCAAGGUGCUCACAGGAGCCCCGGGCACAGCAGGAGAGGCAGGUUCCAAAGCACUAGCAUUAGCAUGAUGCUUGUGUCACACUGGCCGCUGUCCCUCUGGCGACGCCACGGGUGUGACCAGCCCUGAGUCAGGACAGAUGGGGACUGCAAGGCUGGGUGGCCACGGGCACUUCCUCCACCUGGAGGGGCAGGUGGACCCUACGUCAGUCACGCUGCCCCUUGGAGGUGACGGGCUGUACGUACUGGGCUGGAAGAUGUGCAGACACCCACUUAGCGGCUACAGGGCCAGCUGUGACACUUGGGGCCCCAACGGUGCUCCUGGACAAGCAGGCUCGUGUAUGAGGGAGAAAGCGGCGGCGCCUCCGUGCCUGACAUCCAGCGGAAGUGUCCUCACAGAGUAUGGGGCACCCAGUGCCCUCCCGGGAAAGAGGCAGGUCCUGCCCUAGUAUAGGGGGAAUCCAUCAAAGGCCCUGAUUGUUGAGGGGACAAUGUCCAAGGCAAAAGUCACAGAGAAUCCCCCCUACUGUCUUAGGUCACAAAUGUGCCCACGUUCAUAAAGGCAGGUCAAAAAUAGCACACGUGGACUUCCCUGGUGGCACAGUGGUUAAGAAUCUGCCUGGCAAUGCAGGGGACACGGGUUCGAGCCCUGGUCCGGGAAUAUCCCACAUGCCGUGGAGCAACUAAGCCCGUGCGUCACAACUAGUGAGCCUGCUCUCUAGAGCCCGUGAGCCACGACUACUGAGCCCAUGUGCCACAACUACUGAAGCCCGCGCACCUAGAGCCCGUGCUCCACAACAAGAGAAGCCACCGCAGUGAGAAGCCCGCGCACCGCAACGAAGAGUAGCCCCCGCUCGCCGCAACUAGAGAAAGCCCGCGUGCAGCAACGAAGACCCAACGCAGCCAAAAAUAAAAUAAAUAAAUAAAAAUAGCACACGUGAGUCAGCACAGCAGUGAGCUGGCACGCAGGGAAGGAUGAAAGGGGCUCUUUGGCCUUGCCUGAAAAUUUAAUUUUCAAUCACUAGGCUGUGUGAGUGGGUAGCUUAGAGACUGGGUAUUGAUUACUGCAGAAAAGGGACUUUGGGCAGAUUGGCUGUAUUACUUAGCAUUUGCUGUGGAACAAACGAACCGACUUAGCUGCUUUAAAAACAGUUAUGUAUUUCCCCACAGUUUCUGAGGGUCAGAAGGCCAGCACAGGGUGGCUGGGUCCUCUUCUCAGGGUCCCACCGGGCUGUAAUCAAGACGUUGGCUGGGUUGCGUUCUCAUCUGUAAGCAUCUGCUUCCAGGCCCCUUCGGGUGUUGGCAGAAUUACUUUUCUACAUUUGUAGGACUAAGGUCCAGUUUCCUUGCUGGCCACCCCAGGUCCCUGCCACACGGCCCCCUCCACCAGCGGUUCAGCACAUGGCUGUUUGCUGCUCCCCAGACUUUUAUGAACGCCUCACCUGAUUAGGCCAGGCCCACCCAGGAAGAUCUCUCUUUCAAUCAACUCAAAGUCAGCUGAUUUGGGGACCUUGAUUGCCUCUGAAAAAGCCCUUCACCUUUACCAAAUAAUGUCUCACCCACACUCAAGGGGGUUGCGCACGGUGUGUACACGAGGACAAUUCAGAAUUCGGGCCAUUUUGGGGGGACCUAGCAUGGGGUUUAGGGCGUGGGCUCUGGUGGGAGAAGUUGGGUCUGAACCUCAUCCCCAGUUCCUCCUCUUCGCCCUCGACAUCUCAAACGGGCGGCAGGGGGCUGGAUUCAGAACACAGGCCUCUCUUGGCCAUCAACAUUAAAAAUUUUUUUUCUCUUUUAAAGAAUUUGCAAUGUUUAAAAAUCAGGAGGGCUUCCCUGGUGGCGCAGUGGUUAAGAAGCCGCCUGCCAAUGCAGGGGACACGGGUUCAAGCCCUGGCCAGGGAGGAUCCCACAUGCCACAGAGCGGCUAAGCCCGUGCGCCACAACUACUGAGCUCGUAUGCCACAACUACUGAGCUCGCGCUCCACAACAAGAAAGGUCCCUGCUCACCGCAACUAGAGGAAGCCCACGCACAGCAACGAAGACCCAACGCAGCCAAAAGCCUAGGGGAGCAAAUGCACGCUGCCACCAGAGGGCGGAAAAACACCAACAACGCAGCAGUCGCUUUCACCCAGCACGAGAAACCUGCUUCCCACUCCUCUAAUUGGCUGGCGUUUUCCCAGAAUCCCCGAGGGCCCAGGUUGGAGAAAACGCAGCCCCCAACCCAGAGAACGACCCGAGCUGGUGGAGUCCUGUCCCUGCAAACGGUGUUUCCUGCCUUGGUUUCCUGCUUGGGACCAGCUGAGUGUCUGGAUAGCAAAGAGCCUCUGGCAUCUCGAGAGAACUCUAGAGACGUGGAGGUAAUAUUGGGGGGGCUCGUUGGCCAGGUCCCCACUAUGGGCACGUUGUCAGGUGGGAUUCGGAGCAAGGCAGGGUGGGGUGGGGCCCAGGGGCUUCUGAGAGAGACCCCAUGCACUCCUCUCUCCCUCCACAACCUGCUGGGGCUCCACGUGGCCGAAGGCCAAAGUCCACAGACAGCACAGUCUCCAAGCCAUUCGCUCAUUCAUUCAUUCAAGUCUCCAAGUGCUGGUCAGACCAGCGGCAGGAAAUCACAGCAGCCCACCUUUGUGUGCGCUUAGGGAAACCGUUCUAAAUCAUUGCGGUCUUUAGGCCUCGGAAAUAGAACCCACCCACUGCUCGCCCUCCGCGACCCCCACCCAGGCUGGAUUCCAGCACCCCUCCCCCAUCCCCCUACCAUCCCCCACCCCACAUCCUCCACCGCUUCCCCCACCUUCCCCCGCAAACAUUCCCUCCCCCUAUCCCCCCAUCCCCCCGCCAUUCCUCCAACAUAUACCCUACCCCACCCCAUCCACCCCUCCCGGACCCCCGCAGUCCACUCCCCCCGCCCCCGUCUCCCGGUGCCGCCCACGGCCUGUUCUCCCCGAAGCCGCCAGAGGACACUUGUGAGCAGCGAGCGGGGCGCGUCCCUGCUCUGCCAGCCGCGCUGGGGGCUCGCGCGUCCCUCCGGGUGAGAGCCGAGACCUCCGCGCCCCCGGGUCCUGCACGGCCUUCCCUGAGCUCCAGCCGCGUGGGCCUCCUUGUGGGUGUGUGCCCAACACACCCGUCCCGGCGCCUUUGCACAUGCCAGAACCCCCAGGUACACUCGUCCUCAAAUGCCCCUGCACGCGGUUCCUCCCCGCUGCGCGUCUUGCCCCCCGCCAUGUGCUAUUUGCUCAGUAAAUACUGCGUGAACAACUGCGCCCACGGAGGCUGCACCCUCAGCCUGUGAGUCAGGAACAGACGAGGACUCCCAGGCCCAGCGGGAAGCGCCGACAGGACCCCGUCACGCAGCCUGGCUGUCCGAGGCCCCUGGGGGGGCGCCAGGCGGCCACGGGCCGGGGGCUGGGGUGGGGAGGGGAGAGCUCCUCUCUGGGCUCAGGUCCCCUCCUGCGCCGACCUCACGGGGCGAAAUGAGGCCAUCUGGUCAAUUGCCCAGGUCCCGGCACACAGUAGGUGCUGAAUAAAUGUCUGCUGGCUGAUGCCCGGAGGAGGGGGCUCCCUAGGGCUGCCACCUGCCUGGCCUGGGUCUCCCCCUUGUCUGUUUAUGGGAGUCGGGUUUCCAGCCCGCAGCGGGGGGGCUGGGCAGUGGGGGCACCCCAGUGGCGCAGACCAGUGGUGGCGGGUUCUGAUGUGGAGUCCAGGUGACACAGCACUGGUCCCAGGGGCAGACCAAGGGGAAGCCUGGAAGCUGCUGGGAAAGAGAGGCGCUGUGACACCCCGCCCCCAGGCUUGGGUUCAAGCCCAGAUUCCCUCCUGCUAAGCUGGUCACUUUGGGUACCUUGCUCGCCCCCUCUUUGCCUCGGUCUCCUCAUUUGGAAGGUGGUUGGGUGGUCAUGAGGUGACUGUGCCAUAGGCUCCCAGAGCUUUGGUGCUGAAAAGAACGCACAGGAUGCUGGCCGACAUGGGCCAGCCCUUGGGAAGGACUCACUGCGAUCCGGACACCGUGCUUCUCAGUGUACAAGCCCCAGCUCGCGGGGUCCUGAGCAUUAUCAGCAAAGCGCUUUCGCUGUCCCCAUUGUUUAAAAAUUGAGGUAAAAGUCACAUAACAGAAAACUAACCCCUCACCACCUUAAAUAUACAAUUCAGUGUUUUUUUAGUGCAGUCACAAGGUUGCAUAACCACCACCUCUAUCUAAUUCCAGAACAUUCCAUCACCCCAAAAGGAGCCCCCGUCCCCAUCAGCACUCACACCCACCCCUUCCGCCAGCCCCUGACAAUGCUGAACCCACUCUGUGUCUGUGGAUCUGCCUGUUCUGGACGUUUCCCAUCAAUGGAAUCACACACUGUGUCCUUCUCCGUCUGGUUUCUCACACUGAGCAUCGUGUUCUCAAGGCCUGUCCACGUUGUAGUGAGUGUCAGUGCUUUUCUCCUUUUCAUGGCUGAGUGAUGUUCCUGUGUGUGGAGGGACCACAUUUGUGUAUCCAUCAACUGUUGAUGGACAUUUGGGUUGUUUCCACUCUGACUGUUAUGAAUCGUUCUCCUAUGAACAUGCGUGUAGGUUUGUGUGUGUGUAUGUAUGUAUACAUUUGGGCAUAUACCUAGGAGUGGAAUUGCUGGAUCAUACAGUAAUUUUAUGUUUAACUUUUUGAGGAACCGCUGCCUAUUUUCCACAGCUGUUGCACCAUUUUACAUCCCACCAGCCAUGGGCAAGCGUCUGAUUUCUGCAGUGGGAGCUGCUGCUUCUUUUUUUUAAUAAAUUUAUUUUUUUAAUUUAUUUUUGGCCGCGUUGGGUCUUUGUUGUUGCACGUGGGCUUUCUCCAGUUGUGGCGAGCGGGGGCUACUCUUUGUUGCGGUGAGCGGGCUUCUCGUUGCUGUGGCUUCUCUUUGUUGCAGAGCACGGGCUUCAGUAGUUGCAGCACACGGGCUCAGUAGUUGUGAUGCACGGGCUUAGCUGCUCCAUGACAUGUUGGAUCUUCCCAGACCAGGGAUUGAACCCGUGUCCCCUGCAUUGGCUGACAGAUUCUUAACCACUGCACCACCAGGGAAGCCCACUGGGAGCUUCUCAUAAAACGAAGCACCCAGCUGGGGAGGUGAGUGGCUCAAGAGGUGGCCUGGAGCUGGUGAGGACUCUUCCUGCCCCACAGGCUGACUGUGGGUCCCCAGGCCUGGUCUCUUCUCUCACCCUCAGGCUCCACAUCUGGACCACGCCAUCAGCCUGCCCCAUGUCUGGUAUCUCAUGGAUGAGGCAGGAAUUAGUAUGGAGAGGAGGAGAGUUGGCGAGGGAGGAGUCUGGGUCCCGGCUGUGUGGCUUGUAGCUUAGCUUCUCUGAGCUGCAGUUUCCUCCUCUGUAAAAUGCGACAAGAGGAAAACAGUCUGGACGUUCUUAAAAAAAUGAUCAUGUGGUCCAGCACUUCCACUCCUGGGUACGUGCCCCAAAGAACUGGAACAGGUAUGUAGACAAACCCUUGUACACACAUGUUCACAGCAGCACAGUGCACAACAGAGUGGACACAGCUCAGAUAUGCAUCAGCUGAUGACUGGAUACACACACUGUGGUCCAUCUGUACGAUG
Long non-coding RNA from Orcinus orca (killer whale), 6628 nucleotides. RefSeq lists it as uncharacterized. The transcript is spliced from 3 exons. The record is from RefSeq and is a predicted model, not a curated record. Lineage: Eukaryota; Metazoa; Chordata; Mammalia; Artiodactyla; Delphinidae.